Molecule: transfer RNA, 76 nt
Filed under: Massilimicrobiota sp. SW1139
Lineage: Bacteria; Bacillati; Bacillota; Erysipelotrichia; Erysipelotrichales; Erysipelotrichaceae
Description: tRNA-Ala
Rfam family: tRNA
About the family: Transfer RNA (tRNA) molecules are approximately 80 nucleotides in length.
Source: RNAcentral
GGGGUUUUAGCUCAGCUGGGAGAGCGCCUGCUUUGCACGCAGGAGGUCAGCGGUUCGAUCCCGCUAAGCUCCACCA